CGAAGGACUCUUGAAGUCAUCUUCGACGACGAGCUCCGGCGACAAAGGAAACAAUGAUUCUCAUUGUCGACGAAGCAAGCUGUGUGAAUCUAACAUGGAUAGCAGAAUCGGAGUUACAAAUAAUGAAUUUCAGGAAACUUCGUUUACAUAUAACUUUGGCUUAAAGAGGAAGAUGAUCUCGUGACUUUACUUUUUGGUCUCUGAUGCUUUGUAGAACUCAAUUUUGAAACCGCCUCCUUCAUACGUACAGCCAGCCUUCUCUAGAAGACCGUAAGAUAUUAUGUUCCUGCUGAUAUUCGGCAUGUGUCUCACAUCAGUUAAAAUCACUUCAACACCAUCCACAUUAGUAACUCGAAUCUUUCCAAUUCCUUUAACUUCGCUCUGUGUGUUGUUCGCCAUAAAAACUUUCCACCUUCUAGUUCCUUGAAGUCAAAGAGAACAUUCCUUUGAGGAGUGAUAUGAAACGAGCAGCCAUAGUCUAGAACCCACUCCUACUUAGUGUCCUGAACACUUACAGUCAGUACAAGCGGCUGCUUUGGUUAAGAAGCUAUAUUCAUUAAGCUUGAAGACUCAUUCUUCCUUCCCUGAUUAUUCCAAUUCUGUGGGCAUUCUCUCUUCCAAUGACCAUCCUUUCCGCAAAUAAAACACCCUGUUUUGUUGGUAUUUCGGUUUGAUCUUGGUCUAGACUUUGAUCUUCCAUCCCGUGACUUUGAUCUGCUUUUUCCAUACUUUCCAUUUCCUUUAUUUCCCUUCUCCUUCUGUCUACGUUGAGAUUCCACAUACAAGCCUUUUAAGUUCGAUCUAGACUUUCCAAAGAGACCCCUUUGUUUUGUGUUGUUCAAAAUCUUUAAAAUUCAAAUUGUAGUGGGAUUCUAAGAUUUUCAGUUAUAAUAUUACUAGAUACUAGUUGGUAUAAAUAAAUUACACAUUUAUAUUUUA
Molecule: long non-coding RNA, 939 nt
Organism: Brassica oleracea var. oleracea
Lineage: Eukaryota; Viridiplantae; Streptophyta; Magnoliopsida; Brassicales; Brassicaceae
Exons: 3
Source: RefSeq, a predicted model, not a curated record